AGAGAUAAGAUUGUCUUUGGCGGGAGAUCGACUCCAGGGAGGAAGUCGUCCAGAGAAUCAAGUCCAUGAAAAUCUUAUGGUGUUCCAAUCCAGUGUCUCUACUUUUUUUUUUCUAUCAGUUGUAUUUUCUUUUUGUUUUGAUCGAUAAAAAACUGGUGCCACUUAAAGAAUCGUCGUCGACGAAUUUCGAUCUCAGAUCACUAAUAUUAUCACCCGAUGAUUUUAUUAUUUUAUACCAGCUAUAUUUAGUGGGAAUUAUAUAAAUAUUUCUUGUUUUGAUGGGCUUCGUAAAUACCCUUAUAUAGCCUUAUCUGACCGGGGAAAAUCCGAUCAAUCAUUAGUACCCAUUCUACCCUCCCUGUAUAGUUAGAUCUAAUAUUGUUUCGGGCGAUUAAAAAUCAUCGGUCUUCUUCUUCUAAUGUUCUACCUCUCCUGAACGCCAGUGACCACCACCGUCUUCAUCGUCGCCACCACUAUUCUAGCAGCACCUCCACUUCCGCCACCACUUCAGAAGCAGAUCAUUGUUCAUCUCCUCCUUCAUUUUGUUUCCUAUCUUCGAUAUAAGAUCAGUUACAGAGAGAUCGAGAGUUUCAAUUUAGGGUUGUUUUUGAUAGUUUUCAAUUUUUAGGGUUCGUAAUCUGCUCGUUUUCGAUUAUUUUAUUGAAGAUCGUGUUGAUUAGUGAUUCUGGCCGCCAUGAAGAUUAAAGAGUGGUGGUGGAGCAGGUGGUGGAAAUAACCGAGGUGAUAGUGGUGGAGAUCGUGGUAGUGUAGGAAGAUGUGUUUUAUUACAGUAGAGAAGAUAGUGAUGAGCUAAGAGAGCUUGUAAAGAUUACUAUAGUCAUUUUCCUAGUAGAUUUUGCAUUUUCUAAAGCAAACAAUAACAGGUAUCAUCCAGGCUAGAGGACUGGAUAUGAAUUCAACCGUCGACGUUGCACCUUUGGCGCGUUUUUCAGAAAAUAGCUUGAAUCAUGUACAGUAGAUGAUUAUUGAGUUUAGGUUAAUGGGAUGGGAUCCCUGGAAAUGCACUACAAUUUAUGGAUACGAUGCUAUUAGUGACUGUAAUUAAACUUGAAUCCUCAAGGUGGAAUUUUUCUCUUUAUUCACUACUCCACAGACAUGCAAAAGCAAUUAUGCUAUUCCGAGCCAACUUUGUAAAGAUGAGAGGUUAACAAGAUUGUUGAUGCCACUGACGGCUUCGGUGGUGGUGGCGAGUGGUGGUGGACUGGUGGUGG
Long non-coding RNA from Papaver somniferum (opium poppy), 1232 nucleotides. RefSeq lists it as uncharacterized. NCBI's taxonomy places the organism in Eukaryota, Viridiplantae, Streptophyta, Magnoliopsida, Ranunculales, Papaveraceae. The transcript is spliced from 6 exons. The record is from RefSeq and is a predicted model, not a curated record.